GGGAAGCCUGUUUUAAGAUGAGGUUUCAUUUGAGGUCCCCCAAAGACGAUGGGGUUGAUAGGCCAGACCUGGACGCACCGCAAGGUGUGAAGGCUACUGGUACUAAUAGACCAAAACAAACACACACCC
RNAcentral lists this ribosomal RNA (129 nucleotides) under Corynebacterium aurimucosum. RNAcentral describes it as "partial 23S ribosomal RNA". It matches the Rfam family "Bacterial large subunit ribosomal RNA", at positions 2787 to 2925 of the family's 2925-position model. The record is from RNAcentral. Lineage: Bacteria; Bacillati; Actinomycetota; Actinomycetes; Mycobacteriales; Corynebacteriaceae.